CUCUUCUUCCCAGUACCUUGCCUCCUUCAUCUCGCUUCCUAAUCUAAAUCUUGCCACCCUUAUCCACCUGCUUUCUCCCCAUCCCUUUCCCAGAUAUCCUGGUAUCCCUUCUCCUUUCACUAGCCUGUACCAUCUAGAUCGGAUGAGCA
This is a long non-coding RNA of Neodiprion virginianus, 149 nucleotides long. RefSeq lists it as uncharacterized. Lineage: Eukaryota; Metazoa; Arthropoda; Insecta; Hymenoptera; Diprionidae. The record is from RefSeq and is a predicted model, not a curated record. The transcript has 3 exons.